GCACAAGCGGUGGAGCAUGUGGUUUAAUUCGACGCAACGCGAAGAACCUUACCAGGGCUUGACAUCCUCUGACCGCAUAUGAAGUAUGUUUUCUGGCUUCGGUCAGACAGAGAGACAGGUGGUGCAUGGUUGUCGUCAGCUCGUGUCGUGAGAUGUUGGGUUAAGUCCCGCAACGAGCGCAACCCCUACGUUUAGUUGCUAACGUGUAACGAUGAGCACUCUAGGCGGACUGCCGUUGACAAAACGGAGGAAGGUGGGGAUGACGUCAAAUCAUCAUGCCCCUUAUGUUCUGGGCUACACACGUGCUACAAUGGCCGGUACAAAGGGACGCAAAGCCGCGAGGUGGAGCAAAUCCGAUAAAAGCCGGUCUCAGUUCGGAUUGCAGGCUGCAAUUCGCCUGCAUGAAGUCGGAAUCGCUAGUAAUCGCAGGUCAGCAUACUGCGGUGAAUACGUUCCCGGGCCUU
RNAcentral lists this ribosomal RNA (464 nucleotides) under uncultured Cryptanaerobacter sp. RNAcentral describes it as "bacterial SSU rRNA". It matches the Rfam family "Bacterial small subunit ribosomal RNA", at positions 923 to 1382 of the family's 1533-position model. Lineage: Bacteria; Bacillati; Bacillota; Clostridia; Eubacteriales; Desulfotomaculaceae. The record is from RNAcentral.